UCCUACGGGGGGCAGCAGUGGGGAAUAUUGGACAAUGGGGGGAACCCUGAUCCAGCGACGCCGCGUGAGUGAAGAAGUAUUUCGGUAUGUAAAGCUCUAUCAGCAGGGAAGAAAGAAAUGACGGUACCUGACUAAGAAGCCCCGGCUAACUACGUGCCAGCAGCCGCGGUAAUACGUAGGGGGCAAGCGUUAUCCGGAUUUACUGGGUGUAAAGGGAGCGUAGACGGAAAGGCAAGUCAGAAGUGAAAACCCAAGGCUCAACCAUGGGACUGCUUUUGAAACUGUCAAACU
RNAcentral lists this ribosomal RNA (291 nucleotides) under uncultured bacterium. Its description in RNAcentral is "partial 16S ribosomal RNA". It matches the Rfam family "Bacterial small subunit ribosomal RNA", at positions 337 to 642 of the family's 1533-position model. The record is from RNAcentral.